This 252-nucleotide ribosomal RNA is filed under the name uncultured bacterium. Its description in RNAcentral is "partial 16S ribosomal RNA". It matches the Rfam family "Bacterial small subunit ribosomal RNA", at positions 524 to 776 of the family's 1533-position model. The record is from RNAcentral.
GACGUAGGGUGCGAGCGUUGUCCGGAUUUAUUGGGCGUAAGAGCUCGUAGGCUGCUCGUCGCGUCGUCCGUGAAAACCCGCGGCUUAACCGCGGGCUUGCGGUUGAUACGGGCGGGCUAGAGUUCGGUAGGGGAGACUGGAAUUCCUGGUGUAGCGGUGAAAUGCGCAGAUAUCAGGAAGAACACCCGUGGCGAAGGCGGCUCUCUGGGACGGUACUGACGCUGAGACGCGAAAGCGUGGGGAGCGAACAGG